Molecule: transfer RNA, 64 nt
Filed under: Phycisphaerales bacterium
Lineage: Bacteria; Pseudomonadati; Planctomycetota; Phycisphaerae; Phycisphaerales
Description: tRNA-Ser
Rfam family: tRNA
About the family: Transfer RNA (tRNA) molecules are approximately 80 nucleotides in length.
Source: RNAcentral
GGGGCCAUAGCUCAGUUGGGAGAGCGCUUGCAUGGCAUGCNNGGUUCGACUCCUGUUGGCUCCA